GACGAACGCUGGCGGCAGGCCUAACACAUGCAAGUCGAACGGGCGUAGCAAUACGUUAGUGGCGCACGGGAGAGUAACGCGUGGGAAUCUACCUUUUGGUUCGGGAUAACGUCGGGAAACUGACGCUGAUACCGGAUAAGCCCUACGGGGGAAAGUUUUUUCGCCAAUAGAUGAGCCCGCGUUAGAUUAGCUAGUUGGUGAGGCAAUGGCUCACCAAGGCUACGAUCUAUAGCUGGUCUGAGAGGAUGACCAGCCUCACUGGGACUGAGACACGGCCCAGACUCCUACGGGAGGCAGCAGUGGGGAAUAUUGGACAAUGGGGGAAACCCUGAUCCAGCCAUGCCGCGUGAAUGAUGAAGGCCUUCGGGUUGUAAAGUUCUUUUGGUGGGGACGAUAAUGACGGUACCCACAGAAUAAGCUCCGGCUAACUUCGUGCCAGCCGCCGCCGUAA
Molecule: ribosomal RNA, 451 nt
Filed under: uncultured bacterium
Lineage: Bacteria
Description: partial 16S ribosomal RNA
Rfam family: Bacterial small subunit ribosomal RNA
Source: RNAcentral